GGCCCAAACCCUUACUUGUUCUGGCCUGUCCCUCUGGGUUUUGUCUCCGGGGGUCUCUCAGGGCAAGAGAAAGAAAAGCGGUUCGUCAGG
Eptesicus fuscus (big brown bat) is the source of this 90-nucleotide non-coding RNA. The record is from RefSeq and is marked provisional. Lineage: Eukaryota; Metazoa; Chordata; Mammalia; Chiroptera; Vespertilionidae.